Molecule: ribosomal RNA, 573 nt
Filed under: Physocyclus globosus
Lineage: Eukaryota; Metazoa; Arthropoda; Arachnida; Araneae; Pholcidae
Description: eukaryotic LSU rRNA
Source: RNAcentral
AAGUUGCAAGAACUUUGAAGAGAGAGUUCAAGAGUACGUGAAACUGCUCAGAGGCAAACGGGUGGGCCCUCGAAAUCCCACCGCGGAGGGAUUCAGUCUCGAGGCCGGGACGCCGUUGCCGGUCUUCGGACCCGUAGCCAGGCCGGACGGCGACGGAGAGUCCCGGCGGCGCGACGCACUUCCCUCCGCGCAGAGGACGCCGCAACCGGUCGGGUAGCAGCGAGAGUCGGCCAUGAGGGUCCGCGCCGGCAGGUGGCCGGGGAGACGGCUCCGGCCGCGUUCCCCGGUCGUUAGCCAGCGGACGCCGCGGCGCGACACCCGACCGAGGCCGAAGUUUUCCUUCGGGGAAACCAGCCGCGCCCUGUCGUAGAUCAGCGGGGCCCACGGCACGCGCGUCGCCGCUCAGCCGCGUCACUCCGAGAGUGGUCGGCGUUCGGCGGACGUGGUUGGCCGGGGCGUGCCCGCGGACGGGCGCUCACGGUUGGCGGCGAGCAGGUCGGUCACCCACCCGACCCGUCUUGAAACACGGACCAAGGAGUCUAACAUGUGCGCGAGUCACGGGGUCUUGACUAG